Non-coding RNA from Ictidomys tridecemlineatus (thirteen-lined ground squirrel), 6604 nucleotides. Lineage: Eukaryota; Metazoa; Chordata; Mammalia; Rodentia; Sciuridae. The record is from RefSeq and is a predicted model, not a curated record.
UCUUUCUGCUCUGCUUUCUGCCUCUAAUAAUCACAAUAAAUUUAGAUAAAAGUUGCCAGCAAUAUCCAUGCCACCAUCUGAAUGUUGUGCUGCCUUGAAAUUUCCUCUGCCAGAUUAAGGCAUCUACAGAAUUUGGCUUCACAGAAAGUCUCAGGCCAUAGGAAAGUAUAGACAACUAAUUAGCCAGAACAUAAUAUGAAUGAACUCUAGUGCAAUUUCCAAUAGAGCCCUCCUUAUCCUCUGAAACCUCAUAAGGCCAGUCUUUACUGUCCUUAGUCCUAUUAGCAUUCUUAUCUUCUGAACUCCACCAUUAAGUUUUACUUAUAACAUUCUAGUGCUUUUCUAGUGCAUCAUUAAACUUUCCAAAAUUCCUUCCACAAAUUCCACAAAGCUUCUAAACCACAUGGUUAGGUUAGUCACAGCAACACCCCCACUCCUAGUACUAAUUCUUUUUUUUUUUUUUUUGUGAACAAAGGAACUGAGAUAAGAACAAUGUCACAGAGGAAAUGUUUAUUUGGCACUCACCAUUUUGAGUUCUUAGUCCACAGAUAACUGACUCCAUUCCUCAGGGCCUAAAGUGAGGCAGAACAUCAUGGCAGAAGAGUGUGGCAGAGGAAAGCAGCUGGGGAUGUGGCACCAGGAAGCAAAGAGAAAUUUCCACUCACCAAGAACAAAAUAUGUACCCCAAAGGCUCAUCCCCCAUGACAUACCUCUUCCAGCCACAUCCUACCUGCCUACAGUUACCACCCAGUUAAUCACUACUAGAGGACUAAUGCACUGUUUAGACUAAGGCUUUCAUAACCCAAUAAUUUUGCCUUUAAACUUUCUUAUAUGUCUCACAUGAGCUUUUGGAGAACACCUAAAACGUAUCUAAACCAUAACAUCAUACUUUUUUUUUUCAGUACUGAGUAUUAAAGCAAGAGCCCAGUAUGUGCUUGGCAAGCACUCUACCACUGAUCUAGAUCCCCAACUUUUAAAAUUUUUUUGUUUCUUUUUACCCAUUCUUUAGUAUUUACCUUAUUCUAAAUAAUAUCCUUGUUCUGCUAUUUCUUGAUUUAUCAAUUUUAGAUAUUAUCAGUCAACACACUCCCCUACAGGAAGACCUUGACUACAUUAUACUACCACCCCACAUCCUCUUAUCUCAUCUUCCUAAUACACUAUUUCAACUUUCAAGUUAGUAAAAGUGUUUCAUUGUGAUCAUGUAAAUACUGUUUCAUCCCUCUCUUAUUCAUUUAUUAUAAAGCAUUCUGGUUUCCCUUGCAUUGAAAUUGCCCUGUUUUUAUUUUUUCAUUUGCCAAGUUUCUACAUAUUGUACAUGGCUGUAAAGAAUGGUACCUGAUGUGGUCUUAGUUGUUAAAAUCACUCUUAGAUGUGAUUUCAUCUGUUCUUCUAAAUUAAUUAUCUCCCACCAUUUGCUUUCUGAUUUCUAAAAGUCUCAUUUUUUUAAUAUUUAUUUUUUAGUUAUAGGUGGACACAAUAUCCUUAUUCUACCUCUUUGUGGUGCUGAGGAUCGAACCCGUUGCCUCACGCAUGGUAGACAAGUGCUCUAUCUCUGAACCAAAAUCCCAGCCUCACAAAAGUCUCAUAUUUUAUUGUCUUCAUUUUCAUUCUUUAUCCUUGUUAUUUAAUAACUCAUUUUUUAUUAUAAUUUUAGGGGAGAUUUUUGAGGAGAAAGGAGAUAAAGGUGAAACUGGUUUUCGAUAGCCAUAUACCCUUGAGAGAGUUGUCACUGUGCUACAGAAUGCACUCCCUCUCUUCUGUCUUGAACUUACUUCAGCAGGUUUUUGCCCUCACCAAUGGAAAGAAUGGAUAACUCUUGAGGUAACCAGUGACCACUGCACUGCAAUCCAAUGGGAAGUUCUGUCUUCAUUCUAUUUGACUCAUUUUAUUCCUUCUUCCUUGAAUUUGUUUUUUCAGAGGAUCACAUUCUCCUGGUUUCCCUGCAUUUUUAUUUUUUAUUUUUUUAGUUGUAGUUGGUCACAAUAUCUUUAAUUUAUUUAUUUAUUUUUAUGUGGUGCUGAUUAUCCAACCCAGCGUCUCACAUGUGCUAGGCAUGCACUCUACCACUGAGCCACAACCCCAGCCCUGUUUCCCUGCAAUUUUGUUGACCUUUUAUUUUUAGUCUUCAUUUCUGGUUCCUCUUCAUCUCUCUACUCUUAAAUGUUGGAGGGCCCCAGGGUUUAGCCCUUGGACUUCUCUAUACUCAUUUAAUUGAUUAUCUCAUCCAAUCUAAUGGCUUAGAAUACCAUAUGUUCUUAAUUGCAAAAUUUUUAUAUCCAGUUCCAAUCCUUUAUCUGAACUCCAGAAUCAUCAUAUAGUCACCUGCCAGUUCACUAUCUCUGCUUGGCAUUCACACUUGAUAUGCCUAAACCUAAUUCCUGACUUUCCCUUCAAAACCUGUUCCUUCUUCUCAUCCUCUAUCAGUAAAUGGCAACUGUAUCUUUCUUUUUACUUGUUCAUGCCAAAGACUUUGGAAUCAUCUCUCUUUGUCAUGUAUCCUGUAUAUAUCAAGAAAUGCCUUUGACCACUCCUCAUCAUCUCUACUACCUCUUCCCCAGUGCAAGCCACAUCAUUGCUCACCUAGACUAUUGUAAUAGGCUUCUGACUUAUCUCUCUGCUUCUGCCCUUACUUCACCAAACCUACAAUCUGUUGUCAAGACAAGAGCAGAGAGUUGGACACAAUGGCACACACCUAUAAUCCCAGUGACUCCAGAGGCUGAGGCUGGAGGAUUACAAGUUCAAAGCCAACCUAAACAACUUAGCAAGACCCUGUCUCAAAAUAAAAAAGAUGGGGAUGUGGCUCAGUGGUUAAGCAUCCCUGGGUUCAAUCCCCAGUAACAAAAAGAAAACAAAAAAUAACAUGAACAGAAUAAUCAGGGUCUGUUUUUUCUUUUUGAUCUACAUCAGAUCACAAUAAUCCUCUGGUUUCCAUUUGACUCAGCAAAAUAUUUUGCCAUCAUGAAAAGUCACUCUUCUUGAGGUUAUCAAUGACCACCACACUGCAAUCCAGGAGACAGUUCUCAGUCUUCAAGUGGCUUCCCAUUUGAUUCAGUAAAACUUCAGUUCUUUCAGUUUUAUGUCAGACCAUCUUAUCCCAUUCAAACUACCGCUCUCUUCCCAGGUAUCAAACUUCCUUACUAUUACUUGAAUAUUUUAGGCAUAUUUCCAACUGAGGACCUUCACAGAUAUUUUCCUAGAUCUGGAACACUCUUCUGCCAGACACCCUUAUAGCUUUCUUCUGCAUCUUUCUAGUCAUUGGUUAAGAAUCAUGUCAGUGAUUUCUUCAUGUCACCCUGUUUUAAACUAUACCUUUUUUUCUUCUCUCUCUGCAUUAUCUUUUCAUCCUUUUUCCCCCUUUGUAGCAUAUAUUGUUUUGCCUCCUAAUACUGUCAUUAAUACCAAAAGAUUUCAUUCUGAAAAGAAUAUAUGGAUGUCAUUAUGAAAUUACAACUAACAACGAUAAAAGACAUUGAAAUGAUAUAAAGUAAUACCUUUACUUCACAACUACAAGCUAUAGUAUGCACCAGUUCCCUAGACAUUCAUAAGUAAUGCACCAGUGUCAUAUUUUGUCAUUUGUACUAUUAGUAGAUUUAAGAAGUUGAGAUUAAUUUGUUAAAAAAUCAUACAGUAUGUCCUUGAUCAUUUAAAUUUUAAGUCAUUUAAACAUAUGUAUAUCUUUUUCAUAAUCCAGCAUACUGAAGAAGUUUUAGUUUAAAGCCAAUAGGUAGGCUUCAGUUGGGAAAUAAGCCCCAGGGUAAAAAGGCAAGUCAUAUAGGGAAUAUUCCCUUUAUUUUUAAAUUUUUUAUUGGCACAUUAUAAUUAUACAUUAUAACAGGGUUCAUUUUGAUAUAUUCAUACCUGCACAUAACAUACAUAACUUGGUCAAUUUCAUUCCCCCAGUACCUCAUCUUUUCCUCCUCUUCUCCCUCCCACUAAUCCUAUUAUUCUACUUUGCUGAUUUUUCCAGUUCUAUCCAUUUUCCUGCAAGUGACAUAACUUCAUUCUUCUUUUUAGCUGAGUAAAACUCCAUUGUAUCUAUUUACCACAUUUUCUUAAUCCAUUCAUCUGUUGACAGGACACCUAGGCUGGUUCAGUAACCUAUGGUGAAUUUGAAAGCAUGCCUUUUAGAUGGAAUAAUUAGAAUUGAUACUUUGCCUCCUAUCAAUUUCAUCUUAUCUAUUCUGUUUCUAAUGCAUUUGCUUCUAGGAUCUGUGGAUUUUUAGAUUCAUUUUUCUAAUCAAGUCAGGAAAUUCACAACUGUUAUAUUCAUUCUGUGUGUUCUUUUGGGAACUUAAAAUUAGACCUAUAUUAGACCUCACUUUGUCUUCCCUUUUCUUAAUUUCCAUCUCUUUGUCUCUGUGCUCUAAUCUGAAUACUUAUUUAAUGUAUAUUAUGUAUUACUCAGCUAUUCACUCAGCUGUGUCUAAUUUAUCAUUUAAUUCAUUCACUGAGGUUUCUUUAAGUUUCCAUAAUUACAUUUUAAUACUUAUAUUUUAAAUUUUAAAAAUUAUUAUAUCUCAACGAUUAUGUUUUAUCUAGAAUUUGUCUUUUUUUUUGGUAGGGGGGCAGGUACCGGGAUUGAACUCAGGGGCAUUCAACCACUGAACCACAUCUCCAGCCCUAUUUCGUAUUUUAUUUAGAGACAGGGUCUCACUGAGUUGCUUAGCACCUUGCUUUUGCUGAGGCUGGCUUUGAACUCAUAAUCCUCUUGCCUCAGCUUCCCAAGCCACUAGGAUUACAAACAAGCGUGUGCCACUACACCCAGCUAGAAUUCAUCUUUUAAUCUGCUGUUCAUUCCUGUUAAUUUAUUGUGGCCUUCAUUUAAGCACACUAUGUUAUGUCUCUAAGAAUUCCAUUAUCUGCAAUCCUUAGGAAUAAAAUGUUUGUUGUUUUGUCUGACUCUCAGUGUCUGGCCUCUUCACAUAUAUAGUGAUAUUUAGUAGUUAUUUGCUUGUUAAUAUAUAUGAAUUCUACAGGCCAAUACUGGGGAAGUCUUGACUCCACAGAAGAUUUGCUUCUGCCCAUGCUGAUCUUCACAGGGCCCUAAAGUGAAACGAGUAUUAGAAAACUUCUGCUUUAAGAUCUAGAAAAUAACUAAGUGCUUUCUGGCUUAUGAGAGGAAAGAUACAUUUAUAAUGUAUAGUUUUGAGUGUAUUUUGUAAUCAAUAAUAACAUUCUUUGAAACUCUUUGUAAACCAUGUGCAAUGAUUUUCAGCAACCAAACUCAUAAUUAAUUGGAAAAAAUCCACUCUUCAACCACUGUAUUAAAUUAUUAAAUAUGUUUUUCCAUUUGUAUGUUAAAAUGCAAACUUAAAAAACAACCAAAAUGGCACCGGGUAUGAUGACGCACGUCUGUAAUCCCAGCAGCUCAGGAGGCUGAGACAGGAAGAUUAUGAGUUUAAAGCCGGUCUCAGCAAAAAAAGCAAGGCACUAAGCACCUUAGUGAAACCCUGUCUGUAAAUAAAAUACCAAAAAGAUGAAUAUCUUAAUAUGAAUGGUUAACACAUUUUCCAUUUGAAGCUUAUUAAUAUUCUAUAAGUUGAAAAUGGAUCAAGUUCUUUCAUACAUUUCUAGGAUUGGAAGAUGAGAAGUAAGAUGCCUACCGAACUAAUAAAAAUUAUUGUGGAUACCAGUUAGAGGAAUCUGUGCAUUUUUAAGGGCAGAAUAUAUUACUUCUGAUCAAAAUUUUUAAAAAGGUCAAGCCUUAUGUUUAAGUUCCAGCUCUGUCAAACUGCUAGUUAGCUUUCUAAGAGAACUUAACCUCCAAAUCUCACUUAUCUACAAAAUUUCCUCAUCUAUAAAAAUCGUAACUACUUCAGGGAGUUGUUGAGAGGACUAAAGGAUUCUGUUUCAUGCACUUAGCAGAGCACCUGACAUAUAGUAAGGACUUGGUAUGUAUUAACUCCUGCUGUUAAUAGCCAUUUGUUAAUUUCCAUGUUAUCAAUAUGUGAUUUUGAAUCAGACACUAAGGAAUCCUGCUAAUGAGAUCAAGUGAAAAAAUAUAUUUUAGGAACAGGAAUAUUCUUGAGUACUACUCUAUUAUAAGAAUGGGAUAUUCUCUCUGUUUUCCUGUACAGGUAUUAAAAGACAACGGGGGAGGGGCUGGGGUUGUGGCUCAGCGGUAGAGUGCUCGCCCUGCACGCAUGAGACCCUGGGUUCAAUCCUCAGCACCACAUAAAAAUAAAUAAGUGAAAUAAAGGUGUUGUGUCCAACUACAACUAAAAAAUAAAUAUUAAAAAAAACAAAGGGGGAAAUACUGUUAAGCAAUAAGCAAUCAGGAUUCUGCAAUGUUGGGCACACUUGUGUGAUGAUGCCACGUAGGACUUGUAGUCUCAACACUUGGAAUCUCAAGUGGGUAUUAUAAAUAGGGGCCUCCAUUUUCUGGUAGUUAAAAAAGCUCUCUACUCAGAUAUAACCAUCAGAAAUACAUGAGAAAUGAACAUGGCCCCCAACACGCACUUUUUAAUUUUUUAGAGACUUUGAAGCAGGUGAAAGGAAUAUGUAAAUACCUUUUGUUUACCUUCACACAUUAAUUUUGGUUUUGUGCAAACUUUUGCCUUGUAUGGAGAAAAAAAUAAAGUCUUGUUCUUGUUGGAGUCCCAAA